GGAGUCCCGCUUCCCCUGGACCGGAGGCUGCCAUCUCCAGUCCUACCCACUCCGACGCUGGCUGGUGCCGGGGGCCGGGACGCUCCGUACGCCGCCCGCCAGGGUGUGGAGCCGCACUGGGGCAAGAUCAGGUGGGACAGCCCAAAGACUCCGGGCCAAGUUCCUGGGGGACUCGGCGGAGAUGGAAGAUGAUUCUCGAAGCUCUCCAUUUCCUUAAUUUUGAGUUAUCUUCAGUCCUUCUUCAAUGCUGUGACUGAGUGCUUGCUGAUUAUUGUGCUUGCUGAUCCUGACUAAUACUCUCUCUUGAUGAGCUUCAUAUUCAUCACGACUUGGAUAAAUUUUGCUGAUGAGUGCAUCAAACUUUGGGUCUGGCCUUGGUGAUCUUUUGGAAACUAGUUUUUUCCAACAGACUCUCUGUCAUCUCACUGGAGUCUUCAUUUCCACUUGUGCCCAUGCCCAUUCUCCAUUUUCAGCUAAGUAAUACUGCAUUAUAAAACCCAACAUUUGGCCGGGCAUAGUGGCUCACACCUGUAAUCCCAGCACUUUGGGAAGCCGAGGCGGGUGGAUCACUUGAGGUCAGGAGUUCGAGACCAGCCUGAUCAACGUGGAGAAACCCCGCUUCUACUAAAAAUACAAAAUUAGCCUGGCAUGGUGGCACAUGACUGUAAUCCCAGCUACUUGGGAGGCUGAAGCAGGAGAAUCGCUUGAACCCAGGAGGAGGAGGUUGCAGUGAGCCAAGACCGCACCAAUGUACUCCAGUCUGGGCAACAAGAGCGAAACUCCAUCUCAAACAAAACAAAACAAACAAAAAAACAUAAUUUGAGCACAUCUCCCCCUGGCUUAAAAAAUUUCUAAUAAUUCUGUUCCCACCAUCUUGGUUCCUGUGGAGGCCUGCUGGGAAUAGGAACAGGACUUCUAAAAGGAACUAUGUCUGGAGAGCUGUGGUCCAAGGCCAUUUUUGCCAGCUAUAAGCAGGGUCUCCGGAACCAAAGGGAGUAGACUGCUCUUCUUAAAAUUGAAGAUGUUUAUGCCCAUGAUGAAACAGAAGUCUAUUUGGGCAAGAGAUGCGCUUAUGUACACAAAGCAAAGAACAACACAGUGACAUCUGGCAGCAAACCAAAAAAACCAGAGUAAUCUGGGUAAAGGUAACUUGGGCCCACGGAAACAGUGGCCUGAUUCGUGGCAAAUUCUGAAGCAAUCUUCCUGCUAAGGCUAUUGGACACAGAUCUGAGUGAUGCUGGACCCCUCAAGGAUUUAAACUAAUGAAAAGUCAAUAAAUAAAUGUGGAUUUGUGCUCUUGUAUUUUAUUUUUUUUUUUUGAGAUGGAGUCUCACUCUGUCACCCAGGCUGGAGUGCAGUAGUGUGAUCUCAGCUCACUGCAACCUCUGCCUCCCGGAUUCAAGCAAUUCUCCUGCCUCAACCUCCCGAGUAGCUGGGAUUACAGGCGCGCGCCACCAUGCCUGGCUAAUUUUUUUUGUAUUUUUAGUAGAGACGUUGUUUCACCAUGCUGGUCAGGCUGGUCUCGAACUCCUGACCUCGUGAUCCACCUGCCUCGGCCUCACAAAGUGCUGGGAUUAUAGGCACAAGCUACCACACUUGGCCUGUGCUCUUGUAUUUUUAAGUGUAUUAAAAAACUUACUACCUUAAAAAAAAUUUCUAAUUGUUCUAUUAUCAGGAUGAUGUCGCA
This 1687-nucleotide long non-coding RNA is filed under the name Homo sapiens (human). RNAcentral describes it as "non-protein coding lnc-KDM4C-5:4". The record is from RNAcentral. Lineage: Eukaryota; Metazoa; Chordata; Mammalia; Primates; Hominidae.